This 585-nucleotide ribosomal RNA is filed under the name uncultured bacterium. Its description in RNAcentral is "bacterial SSU rRNA". It matches the Rfam family "Bacterial small subunit ribosomal RNA", at positions 338 to 916 of the family's 1533-position model. The record is from RNAcentral.
CCUACGGGAGGCAGCAGUGGGGAAUAUUGGACAAUGGGGGCAACCCUGAUCCAGCCAUGCCGCGUGUGUGAAGAAGGCCUUCGGGUUGUAAAGCACUUUAAGCGGGGAGGAAGGGCUUUGGGUUAAUAACCUGGAGCAUUGACGUUACCCGCAGAAUAAGCACCGGCUAACUCUGUGCCAGCAGCCGCGGUAAUACAGAGGGUGCAAGCGUUAAUCGGAAUUACUGGGCGUAAAGCGCGCGUAGGCGGUUGUGCAAGUUGGAGGUGAAAUCCCCGGGCUUAACCUGGGCACUGCCUUCAAAACUGCACGGCUAGAGUAUGGGAGAGGAAGGUAGAAUUCCAGGUGUAGCGGUGAAAUGCGUAGAGAUCUGGAGGAAUACCGAUGGCGAAGGCAGCCUUCUGGCCUAAUACUGACGCUGAGGUGCGAAAGCACGGGGAGCAAACAGGAUUAGAUACCCUGGUAGUCCAUGCCGUAAACGAUGUCAACUAGUUGUUGGGAGACUUGAUCUCUUAGUGACGCAGCUAACGCAUUAAGUUGACCGCCUGGGGAAUCGGUCGCAAGACUAAAACUCAAAGGAAUUAACGG